This 506-nucleotide ribosomal RNA is filed under the name uncultured bacterium. RNAcentral's name for it is "bacterial SSU rRNA". It matches the Rfam family "Bacterial small subunit ribosomal RNA", at positions 30 to 526 of the family's 1533-position model. The record is from RNAcentral.
AUUGAACGCUGGCGGCAUGGCUAACACAUGCAAGUCGAACGGCAGCACAGUGUGUAGCAAUACACAUGGGUGGCGAGUGGCGGACGGGUGAGUAAUGCGUAGGGAUCUGCCUCAAAGCGGGGGACAACCCGGGGAAACUCGGGCUAAUACCGCAUAAUACUCUGAGGAGGAAAGCUUGGGCAACCAGGCACUUUGAGAGGAACCUACGUCCGAUUAGCUAGUUGGUGGGGUAAUAGCUUACCAAGGCGAUGAUCGGUAGCUGGUCUGAGAGGAUGACCAGCCACACUGGGACUGAGACACGGCCCAGACUCCUACGGGAGGCAGCAGUGGGGAAUAUUGGACAAUGGGGGCAACCCUGAUCCAGCAAUGCCGCGUGUGUGAAGAAGGCCUUCGGGUUGUAAAGCACUUUAGGCGGGGAAGAAGGUAAUGAGUUGAAUAGACUUGUUGCUUGACGGUACCCGCAGAAUAAGCACCGGCUAACUCUGUGCCAGCAGCCGCGGUAAUAC